Molecule: small RNA, 168 nt
Filed under: uncultured Blautia sp.
Lineage: Bacteria; Bacillati; Bacillota; Clostridia; Lachnospirales; Lachnospiraceae
Description: Clostridiales-1 RNA
Rfam family: Clostridiales-1 RNA
Source: RNAcentral
GAUACCAGGGUCAAAAGGUUGGAAAUCCGAUGCAAGCUUGCUUGCAAGCGGAUUUUUAACCUUGGGCCCCACCAAAAACAUGAAUAAGUAGCCAUUUUUCAAAGAAAAAUGAGCGAAUUAUGAAUGUUUUUGAGGAUUGCGGGAGCACACCGUGCGGAGCAAUCCGGU